Molecule: ribosomal RNA, 371 nt
Filed under: uncultured bacterium
Lineage: Bacteria
Description: bacterial SSU rRNA
Rfam family: Bacterial small subunit ribosomal RNA
Source: RNAcentral
GUASSGGGCAAGCGUUGUCCGGAUUUAUUGGGCGUAAAGAGCGUGUAGGCGGCUUUACAGGUCCGCUGUGAAAACUCGAGGCUCAACCUCGAGCUGUCGGUGGAAACCGUAAAGCUAGAGUCCGGAAGAGGAGAGUGGAAUUCCCGGUGUAGCGGUGAAAUGCGCAGAUAUCGGGAAGAACACCCGUGGCGAAGGCGGCUCUCUGGGACGGUACUGACGCUGAGACGCGAAAGCGUGGGGAGCGAACAGGAUUAGAUACCCUGGUAGUCCACGCCGUAAACGAUGGGUGCUAGGUGUGGGAGGUGUCGACUCCUUCCGUGCCGAAGCUAACGCAUUAAGCACCCCGCCUGGGGAGUACGGCCGCAAGGCUA